Egretta garzetta (little egret) is the source of this 703-nucleotide long non-coding RNA. RefSeq lists it as uncharacterized. The transcript is spliced from 3 exons. The record is from RefSeq and is a predicted model, not a curated record. NCBI's taxonomy places the organism in Eukaryota, Metazoa, Chordata, Aves, Pelecaniformes, Ardeidae.
CGUGGGGAUGCCUUGCAUGCUGGUGUGUGGAUAGCUGGAACAGCUCAAGGAGCUAGCUUUUCUCCUGCUGGCUGCUGCUCCCACUGAAGCAAAUGUCUUGGCCAUACCAUAUGAUCGGCUGUCUUCAUCCUUGUGCAAGAUCAAGUGAUGCCCAUUGCCUUCCUGAGUUGCUUCAUGCCUCUUCUCCAUGCUGCAUCCCACAGAGAUUCCCAACAGCGCUUCAGAAACAAGAGUGACCAAUGCAGCUGCUGCUCAGCUCACCUGGAUGUUCACCAGCUCCCAUGGAAGAAGUAGACAGGCAAGCACCCCUCUGCUUCCUGGCAAUGCAGCAUGGCUCACAGCUUUUUUUUGGAGAAAUGGUUCCUCAAAGGAUGCUACGAAGUGGUAUGCAGUGGCACAGGACUGUGUCUUUCCAGUGGCUCAGGGUGACAGAGAAUUGCCUGCUUGAAACCAGCCCCAGUGCUCUGGAAGUGGGCAGUUGCCAUCGGUAACAUAUCCUUCCUCCAAGUAUUCCAUCCUUAACGGAUGUCUUUUGAGGCAUGGAGUGUGGCGGAGUUGUGGAUAUGCCUCAGGUGCCCUUAUUAGAUGCCUGGAUGCGUUUUGAAAAUGGCUGCUUAGAAAAUGUCUAAUUGCUAUUCCACAUAUUCAAAGUGUUUUUUUCUCUUGACAAGGCUUUGGCAUGCCUUGGAUUGCUAAAUAUACU